AUGAAACCAACACUGUUAGUUGGCAUGGAUUGGAGCUCCAAUUUGAACGCAAUAGCGCAUGAUCAACAGAUUCCCAUUGCUGCUCGAGCAGGAGAAUCUUUGUACAUGUUUAUCUCUGAACAUAUUUCUAGUCAGUGCAAAGUUCUGACCUAUUUCUUAUUUCUCUCGGGGACAACAACACUGAGUCCCAUAAGUUUUGUAUAUGUUUUUAACUAUGUUUCUGGGAUGCCAUUAACUGUCAGCACCCAAUUGACCAGCUCAGUUCUAUGUUCAAAGACUAAAGAGAAAAUACUUCAGUGUCCCAAACACAGUGAAUUCACCUUAGGGAAGUCAAAAGGAACACUCUUAUCCUGA
Vicia faba (fava bean) is the source of this 354-nucleotide non-coding RNA. The record is from the annotation of a GenBank genome assembly. NCBI's taxonomy places the organism in Eukaryota, Viridiplantae, Streptophyta, Magnoliopsida, Fabales, Fabaceae.